GAGAGACGCGGUUCUGAAGAUCGCAAAUGGUCAGUGAAGUUGAGAAGACAUCCUUUCCUUUCCCAACACCCUACAGCGGUCCAAAAUCGUUUAGCCAUACUGUCAUCCUCCCUCUGUUUAACAUCUUGGAAUUUUGAAGGGUGUCUUCGGAAGCCCCUUCGUUGACGACUCAAGACUCCCUCUGCCUCCAGUCUUCCCGUGAACUCCCACUCACGCACCCAUCUGUUCCCAACUCAAAAGUUAAGCAAAUGGUGUUUUGCUUUCCUUCAACACCCAAGAAACUGGCGAUGACCGUGGGAUGUUUCGUCUCCGGUGCUGCUCUUUUUCUUGUAGGUUUGCAUCUCUCUUAUGUCAACGUCGCUCCUCAACAAGCUCGAAUUCAGGCUCGCAAUGAUUUCGUGAGAGAGAGAUUAAGAAAGAAGUACGGUAAAUGAAGAGUCUGCUCUUAAUGGCUCUGGGCUUAUAUACCCUCGAUAAGUUAUUAUUCUCCAUCCCUGCCCUUCGUGUACUGAGGCAAAUGCCGUUAGGGUACCGAGGUUGUAAUGGUUGUAGAAGCAAGGCAAUGAAUUUGGCUCUCACUGGAUUGCAAGCUUAGAUUCCAAAACUCAUUGGAUUAUGGUGUAUUCUCCAUCUUAAUGCACGUCAUAGAAGAUUGGAAUGCUAAACUUAACACGAAUUGAGUAUUAUUUCAUCGAUUUCAAAGCUCGAAUAAAAUAUCCAGUUUCAAGUACUCAAA
Long non-coding RNA from Juglans regia (Persian walnut), 736 nucleotides. RefSeq lists it as uncharacterized. The transcript is spliced from 2 exons. Lineage: Eukaryota; Viridiplantae; Streptophyta; Magnoliopsida; Fagales; Juglandaceae. The record is from RefSeq and is a predicted model, not a curated record.